UCGAACGGUAACGCGGGGAGAAGCUGUGCUUCUCCCCGGCGACGAGUGGCGAACGGGUGAGUAAUACAUCGGAACGUGUCCGCUCGUGGGGGACAACCAGCCGAAAGGUUGGCUAAUACCGCAUGAGUUCUACGGAAGAAAGAGGGGGACCCGCAAGGGCCUCUCGCGAGCGGAGCGGCCGAUGACUGAUUAGCCGGUUGGUGAGGUAACGGCUCACCAAAGCAACGAUCAGUAGCUGGUCUGAGAGGACGACCAGCCACACUGGGACUGAGACACGGCCCAGACUCCUACGGGAGGCAGCAGUGGGGAAUUUUGGACAAUGGGCGCAAGCCUGAUCCAGCUAUUCCGCGUGUGGGAUGAAGGCCCUCGGGUUGUAAACCACUUUUGUAGAGAACGAAAAGACACCUUCGAAUAAAGGGUGUUGCUGACGGUACUCUAAGAAUAAGCACCGGCUAACUACGUGCCAGCAGCCGCGGUAAUACGUAGGGUGCGAGCGUUAAUCGGAAUUACUGGGCGUAAAGGGUGCGCAGGCGGUUGAG
RNAcentral lists this ribosomal RNA (539 nucleotides) under uncultured beta proteobacterium. Its description in RNAcentral is "bacterial SSU rRNA". It matches the Rfam family "Bacterial small subunit ribosomal RNA", at positions 62 to 583 of the family's 1533-position model. Lineage: Bacteria; Pseudomonadati; Pseudomonadota; Betaproteobacteria. The record is from RNAcentral.